RNAcentral lists this ribosomal RNA (1072 nucleotides) under Cactus male plant phytoplasma. RNAcentral's name for it is "bacterial SSU rRNA". It matches the Rfam family "Bacterial small subunit ribosomal RNA", at positions 228 to 1308 of the family's 1533-position model. Lineage: Bacteria; Bacillati; Mycoplasmatota; Mollicutes; Acholeplasmatales; Acholeplasmataceae. The record is from RNAcentral.
AGCUUGCGUCACAUUAGUUAGUUGGUGGGGUAAAGGCCUAACAAGACUAUGAUGUGUAGCCGGGCUGAGAGGUUGAACGGCCACAUUGGGACUGAGACACGGCCCAAACUCCUACGGGAGGCAGCAGUAGGGAAUUUUCGGCAAUGGAGGAAACUCUGACCGAGCAACGCCGCGUGAACGAUGAAGUAUUUCGGUACGUAAAGUUCUUUUAUUAGGGAAGAAUAAAUGAUGGAAAAAUCAUUCUGACGGUACCUAAUGAAUAAGCCCCGGCUAACUAUGUGCCAGCAGCCGCGGUAAUACAUAGGGGGCAAGCGUUAUCCGGAAUUAUUGGGCGUAAAGGGUGCGUAGGCGGUUAAAUAAGUUUAUGGUCUAAGUGCAAUGCUCAACAUUGUGAUGCUAUAAAAACUGUUUAGCUAGAGUAAGAUAGAGGCAAGUGGAAUUCCAUGUGUAGUGGUAAAAUGCGUAAAUAUAUGGAGGAACACCAGUAGCGAAGGCGGCUUGCUGGGUCUUUACUGACGCUGAGGCACGAAAGCGUGGGGAGCAAACAGGAUUAGAUACCCUGGUAGUCCACGCCGUAAACGAUGAGUACUAAACGUUGGGUAAAACCAGUGUUGAAGUUAACACAUUAAGUACUCCGCCUGAGUAGUACGUACGCAAGUAUGAAACUUAAAGGAAUUGACGGGACUCCGCACAAGCGGUGGAUCAUGUUGUUUAAUUCGAAGGUACCCGAAAAACCUCACCAGGUCUUGACAUGCUUCUGCAAAGCUGUAGAAACACAGUGGAGGUUAUCAGUUGCACAGGUGGUGCAUGGUUGUCGUCAGCUCGUGUCGUGAGAUGUUGGGUUAAGUCCCGCAACGAGCGCAACCCUUAUUGUUAGUUACCAGCACGUAAUGGUGGGGACUUUAGCAAGACUGCCAGUGAUAAAUUGGAGGAAGGUGGGGACGACGUCAAAUCAUCAUGCCCCUUAUGACCUGGGCUACAAACGUGAUACAAUGGCUGUUACAAAGGGUAGCUGAAGCGCAAGUUUUUGGCGAAUCUCAAAAAAACAGUCUCAGUUCGGAUUGAAGUCUGC